Molecule: long non-coding RNA, 2227 nt
Organism: Erpetoichthys calabaricus (reedfish)
Lineage: Eukaryota; Metazoa; Chordata; Cladistia; Polypteriformes; Polypteridae
Exons: 3
Source: RefSeq, a predicted model, not a curated record
UGGGCAGUGGUAGUUGUUUCUAUUGUUGUGGAAGGUGGUGAUGGUGUUGUUGUUUCAGCUGUUGUGGUACUUAUGGUAGUCAUAGUUGUUUCUGUUGUUGUUGAAGUUUCUGGUAUUCUUGUUUCAGCAGCAGUUGUAGGAUGGGUCGCUACAGUUGUUUCUGUUGUUGUGGAAGUUGGAGGUGUUGUUGUUUCAGCAAUUGUACUACUUGUGGUAAUGGUAGUAGUUUCAACUGUUGUGGAAGAUGGUGGUUUGGUUGGUGCUUCAGCUGUUGUACUACUUUCUGUAUUGGUAGUUUCAGCAGCUGUUGUAGUUUGGGCAGUGGUAGUUGUUUCUAUUGUUGUGUAAGUUUGAUGUCCUGUUGUUGUUUUAGCGAUUGCAGUACUUUGGGUUGUGGUAGGUGUUUCUAUUUUUGUAGAUAUUUCUGGUGUUGUUGUUGCUUCAGUUGUUAUACUACUUUGUAUAGUAGUAGUUUUUUCUGUUGUUGUCAUAGUUUGUGGUGCAAUUGCUGUUUCAGCAGCUGUUGUAGUUUGGGCAGUGGUAGUUGUUUCUAUUGUUGUGGGAGGUGAUGGUGUUGUUGUUGUUUCAGCUGUUGUGGUACUUAUGGUGGCCAUAGUUGUUUCUGUUGUUGUUGAAGUUUCUGGUUUUCUUGUUUCAGCACCAGUUGUAGGAAUGGUCGCUGCAGUUAUUUCUGUAGUUGUGGAAGUUGGAGUUGUUGUUGUUUCAGCAUUUGUACUACUUGUGGUAAUGGUAGUAGUUUCAACUGUUGUGGAAGAUGGUGGUUUUGAUGGUGCUUCAGCUGAUGUACUACUUUCUGUAUUGGUAGUUUCAGCAGCUGUUGUAGUUUGGGCAGUGGUAGUUGUUUCUAUUGUUGUGUAAGUUUGAGGUCCUGUUGUUGUUUUAGCUAUUGCAGUACUUUGGGUUGUGGUGGGUGUUUCUAUUUUUGUAGAAAUGUCUGGUGUUGGCGCUGCCUCAGUUGUUGUACUACUUUGUGUAGUUUUAGUUUUCUCUGUUGUUGUGAAAGUUUGUGGUGUUAUUGUUGUGUCAGUAGCAGUUGUUGUUUGGGCAGUGGUAGUUGUUUCUAUUGUUGUGGGAGGUGAUGGUGUUGUUGUUGUUUCAGCUGUUGUGGUACUUAUGGUAGCCAUAGUUGUUUCUGUUGUUGUUGAAGUUUCUGGUAUUCUUGUUUCAGCAGCAGUUGUAGGAUGGGUCGCUACAGUUGUUUCUGUUGUUGUGGAAGUUGGAGGUGUUGUUGUUUCAGCAUUUGUACUACUUUUGGUAAUGGUAGUAGUUUCAACUGUUGUGGAAGAUGGUGGUUUGGUUGGUGCUUCAGCUGAUGUACUACUUUCUGUAUUGGUAGUUUCAGCAGCUGUUGUAGUUUGGGCAGUGGUAGGUCUUUCUAUUGUUGUGUAAGUUUGAUGUCCUGUUGUUGUUUUAGGUAUUGCAGUACUUUGGGUUGUGGUAGGUGUUUCUAUUUUUGUAGACAUUUCUGGUGUUGUUGCUGCUUCAGUUGUUGUACUACUUUGUGUAGUUUUAGUUUUUUCUGUUGUUGUGGUAGUUUGUGGUGCUAUUGUUGUUUCAGCAGCUGUUGUAGUUUGGGCAGUGGUAGUUGUUUCUAUUGUUGUGGGAGGUGAUGGUGUUGUUGUUGUUUCAGCUGUUGUGGUAGUUAUGGUAGCCAUAGUUGUUUCUGUUGUUGUUGAAGUUUCUGGUAUUCUUGUUUCAGCAGCAGUUGUAGGAUGGGUCGCUACAGUUGUUUCUGUUGUUGUGGAAGUUGGAGGUGUUGCUGUUUCAGCAUUUCUACUACUUGUGGUAAUGGUAGUAGUUUCAACUGUUGUGGAAGAUGGUGGUUUGGUUGGUGCUUCAGCUGAUGUACUACUUUCUGUUUUGGUAGUUUCAGCAGCUGUUGUAGUUUGGGCAGUGGUAGUUGUUUCUAUUGUUGUGUAAGUUUGAGGUCCUGUUGUUGUUUUAGCUAUUGCAGUACUUUGGGUUGUGGUAGGUGUUUCUAUUGUUGUAGACAUUUCUGGUGUUGUUGCUGCUUCAGUUGUUGUACUACUUUGUGUAGUUUUAGUUUUGUCUGUUGUUGUGGUAGUUUGAGGUCCUGUUGUUGAUUUAGCUAUUACAGUACUUUGGGCUGUGGUAGGUGUUUCCAUUUUUGUAGAAAUUUCUGGUGUUGUUGCUGCUUCAGUUGUUUUACUAAUUUGUGUAGAGGUAGUUUUUUCUGUUGUUGUGG